GAUGAACGCUGGCGGCGUGCCUAAUACAUGCAAGUCGAACGAACAGACGAGGAGCUUGCUCCUCCGACGUUAGCGGCGGACGGGUGAGUCACACGUGGAUAACCUACCUAUCAGACUGGGAUAAUUUCGGGAAACCGUAGCUACUACCGGAUAAUAUAUUGAACCUCAUGGUUCACUCGUGAAAGUCGCUUUUGGUGUCACUUAUAGACUGAUCCGCGCCCCAUUAGUUAGUUGGCAAGGUGACGGCUUAGCCAGGCAACGAUGCGUAGCCGACCUGAGGGGGUGAUUGGACACACUGGAACUGAGACACGGUCCAGACUCCGACGGGAGGCAGCAGUAGGGAAUCUUACGCGAUGGGCGAAAGCCUGACAGUGCAACGCCGCGGGAGGGAUGAAGGUGUACGGAUCGUAAAGCUCUGUUAUUAGGGAGGAACAAAUGUGUAAGUAACUAUGCACGUCUUGACGGUACCUAAUCAAAAAGCCACGGCUAACUACGUG
RNAcentral lists this ribosomal RNA (497 nucleotides) under uncultured bacterium. RNAcentral describes it as "partial 16S ribosomal RNA". It matches the Rfam family "Bacterial small subunit ribosomal RNA", at positions 28 to 507 of the family's 1533-position model. The record is from RNAcentral.